This 127-nucleotide ribosomal RNA is filed under the name Clostridioides difficile. RNAcentral's name for it is "partial 23S ribosomal RNA". It matches the Rfam family "Bacterial large subunit ribosomal RNA", at positions 2803 to 2925 of the family's 2925-position model. The record is from RNAcentral. Lineage: Bacteria; Bacillati; Bacillota; Clostridia; Peptostreptococcales; Peptostreptococcaceae.
GAUAAGAUUUCCCACCGCAAGGGUAAGACCCCAGAAAGACUAUCUGGUUGAUAGGUCGAAGGUGUAAGUGCAGCAAUGUAUUUAGCUUAUCGAUACUAAUAGGUCGAGGACUUGACCAAUAUUUAUU